GAAACAAUCAAUCCCAGUAAUUGCCUUUAUGGAGAACAAGGCCCUGCGAUUAUUCAUUAACACCCUCUCUGCUGUCUCCUCUCAAACUUCUCACUCCAUAACCGCUGCCCUUAUAUCCGGGUUCAGGUAGCACCAAGGAGCAGCUGCUCAUCUCAAAUGAAGACGCUGGAGGACUCAGAGCCCCAAAGCAGACAUGAGAACGUGGGGGGAUGCCCUGGCUGAGACCCUCUUAGACACGACAAGCCUUUAGUAUGUAGAACGUGUUCCCUGCUAUCCACAAGCACGAAACUCUAUACAGACUUGACUUUCUCUCUAAUGGAGUUCCCCUGUAGAUGACAUCGAUUCUCUGAAAGAAAUCUGCUCACAAAAUCUUUCCAGUUGUAUUCUGCAGAUCUCAACAACUGAGCUGAACACAACUCCACAGACAUUUGUAAACUGCAGAAGGGAAAUCAAAUUUUUCAGUACUGCAAGUGGAAAAUAAACAAAAAAGAAGAAAAGGAGAAUUUCUUAGUAAAAUCUUCUACCAAACAUUCCCUUAAACAACUCUGUAUUCUCUGCUGAUUGCCCUCUGUAAAGUCAUUUCGAGUGGUGUUAAAAAAAUGCAAACAAUUUUAAAAUGUUAUGUUUUGUUACAGUAGAGCCACGUGUUCUAUCACCUGCUCUUUCCCCUCAAAAUGGCUGAAUUAAUUUUCUCUGAAGUCCAAAGAAGAGCUUGGGAACAGCUAGAGCAAGUGGAAACGGGAUAAUCUGAACAAACAAAACUGGCUGUUCCAAAGCUCCUGCUUCACCAGGCACUAAUUGGGGUGCUGAGAUGUAGAGGCGAGCUCUGGUCCCACACAAGGGCAGCGGUACAUCUGUGAAUAGGCUGGUUUGCAACUGGCUCGUCCAUACAACCAGUUCAUUUUCUAAAUGGAAACAAAUCCAAAUGCACAAACCCACUGCCAUCCCAACGUACUGCUGACUUUGCUGUGUGGUUGAACAGAACUGACUUUGCUUGAAAAGGAACUUACGGGUUCUGUGUCACCUGAUUCUAAAAAUAAAACACUUCCAUUACUGUU
This 1058-nucleotide long non-coding RNA is filed under the name Homo sapiens (human). Its description in RNAcentral is "HSALNT0391187". The record is from RNAcentral. Lineage: Eukaryota; Metazoa; Chordata; Mammalia; Primates; Hominidae.